Long non-coding RNA from Mytilus californianus (California mussel), 1225 nucleotides. RefSeq lists it as uncharacterized. The transcript is spliced from 3 exons. The record is from RefSeq and is a predicted model, not a curated record. Lineage: Eukaryota; Metazoa; Mollusca; Bivalvia; Mytilida; Mytilidae.
AUUAUCAUGGUGUUCAGUGCAAAAAGCUAUGUAACUGUAUAGAUUAUAAGAAGUGUGACCCAGUUCUUGGCUGCAUGUGUUUGGGAUACAGGGUUUACCGGUUCAAAAUGCUCAAAUGAAUGCCACCAGGGUUUCUAUAACUUUAGUUACAAUUACAACUGCUCUGAGACCUGUUUAUGUAAAAACGAUACAUUCUGUAACCAACGCUCAGGAAUAUGCGAGUGUAGAGACGGAACUUCGUGCAAAAACAUAACGAAAGAACCUGCUCCGAAGAAGCAAACUAAUACACAAAGUGUCCCAUUUAUUAAACUGGCGAAUUUCUUGGCCGUUGUCAUGCCUAUGCUGUUAUUUACAUGUUUCGUCCUUAUAAAACAACAUAAACAGCAGUUCCAACAAAGCCUUCUAGAUAGAGAAAUAGUCGAUGAUCAAACAUAUCAAAAUGCUAUUUACUGCGAAAUAAAUGAUGACCAGGUCAGGGAUCAGACGAGAGUAAACUCCGUUGGAACCGGAAACUACAACUCAGAGAAAAAAUGUCAGCAAACAACAGAAGAGAACCAUAGACAUAUUUAUAUUGCUAAAUCCCUUCCAAAUUUAUGCAUGUAUGAGGAACAGUAUCUCAGUCCUUACUGUUCUCUUCAAAAUGCUGAUAAUGACUAUCUAAACCCAUACUGUGCACUAGGGUUGGGGAGGAGGGUUAUCAGUUGUUCAAAUCUGUUUACUAUUACAGACACUAUAGAUGUCGCAAAUUGAAAGUAUUCAAAUAUUCUUGUUAUCUAUAAUGUUUUAAGAUGACAUGAUUUUGCUUUUCAAUUUCAAUGUCAUAAAAUAAUGAUUUUGUGAUAAAACUAAAUCGGAACGUUAACCCCCAUGUGCAAAACUGAUCCCGUACGGAGUUAGCUUUUAAAACCUUUUUGCUGUUAUGCUCUCAAACGUUUUAUAUGUCGAAGGCUUCAUUUGGUGAAGAGUAAUAUUAAACGAUGAUCUAUAAAUACACGACUUUUUCAAUUGAAUUGUAUUCUUGUUAUUCAAACCUGAAUAAUAUAUGCUAAUAUUGUUCUUCCCAUUUUCCAUUGCAGUACUGCCUUACUAUUCCUCAACUGCAAAACACAGGUUUUAUCAAUACAAUCCGGUUGAAACUCGUCAUACAGUGAUUUUCCUCUCUCAAGAUUGGAGUUCCAUUAGUUGAUAUCAAAUACAUUAACUGGAAUAAAUUGCAGGAAACACA